UACACUUGUGAUUGUAGGUCGCUUUGGAUAAAAGCGUCUGCUAAAUGGCUUAUA
Salmo salar (Atlantic salmon) is the source of this 54-nucleotide non-coding RNA. The record is from Rfam. NCBI's taxonomy places the organism in Eukaryota, Metazoa, Chordata, Actinopteri, Salmoniformes, Salmonidae.